Molecule: ribosomal RNA, 314 nt
Filed under: uncultured bacterium
Lineage: Bacteria
Description: partial 16S ribosomal RNA
Rfam family: Bacterial small subunit ribosomal RNA
Source: RNAcentral
GUAUAAGAGACAGCAGCCGCCGCGGGAAAACAGAGGGUGCGAGCGUUAAUCGGAUUUACUGGGCGUAAAGCGUGCGUAGGCGGCUUUUUAAGUCGGAUGUGAAAUCCCUGAGCUUAACUUAGGAAUUGCAUUCGAUACUGGGAAGCUAGAGUAUGGGAGAGGAUGGUAGAAUUCCAGGUGUAGCGGUGAAAUGCGUAGAGAUCUGGAGGAAUACCGAUGGCGAAGGCAGCCAUCUGGCCUAAUACUGACGCUGAGGUACGAAAGCAUGGGGAGCAAACAGGAUUAGAUACCCCCGUAGUCCCUGUCUCUUAUAC